RNAcentral lists this unclassified non-coding RNA (513 nucleotides) under uncultured Glomus. RNAcentral's name for it is "SSU rRNA". It matches the Rfam family "Eukaryotic small subunit ribosomal RNA", at positions 569 to 1087 of the family's 1831-position model. The record is from RNAcentral. Lineage: Eukaryota; Fungi; Glomeromycota; Glomeromycetes; Glomerales; Glomeraceae.
AGCAGCCGCGGUAAUUCCAGCUCCAAUAGCGUAUAUUAAAGUUGUUGCAGUUAAAAAGCUCGUAGUUGAAUUUCGGGAUCAAUAUGUUGGUCGUGCCUCGGUACGUACUAGCAUAUUGGUUCUCCUUUCUGAAGAACCAUGAUGCCAUUUAUUUGGUGUCGUGGGGAAUCAGGACUGUUACUUUGAAAAAUUAGAGUGUUUAAAGCAGGCUCACGCUUGAAUACAUUAGCAUGGAAUAAUGAAAUAGGACGUUUGAUUCUAUUUUGUUGGUUUCUAGGAUCGACGUAAUGAUUAAUAGGGAUAGUUGGGGGCAUUAGUAUUCAAUUGUCAGAGGUGAAAUUCUUGGAUUUAUUGAAGACUAACUACUGCGAAAGCAUUUGCCAAGGAUGCUUUCAUUAAUCAAGAACGAAAGUUAGGGGAUCGAAGACGAUCAGAUACCGUCGUAGUCUUAACCAUAAACUAUGCCGACUAGGGAUCGGAUGAUGUUAAUUUUUAAUGUACUCAUUCGGUCCG